Molecule: microRNA precursor, 105 nt
Filed under: Populus trichocarpa (black cottonwood)
Lineage: Eukaryota; Viridiplantae; Streptophyta; Magnoliopsida; Malpighiales; Salicaceae
Description: miR166f stem-loop (ptc-MIR166f)
Gene: ptc-MIR166f
Rfam family: mir-166 microRNA precursor family
About the family: This family represents the plant microRNA (miRNA) precursor mir-166. Animal miRNAs are transcribed as ~70nt precursors and subsequently processed by the Dicer enzyme to give a ~22nt product.
Source: miRBase by way of RNAcentral
GGUGUGUUGAGGGGAAUGUUGGCUGGCUCGAAGCUUAAGCAAAGAGUUUCCUAACAUGAAACAACUGUUAAGGCUUCGGACCAGGCUUCAUUCCCCUCAAACAUA